Molecule: ribosomal RNA, 253 nt
Filed under: uncultured bacterium
Lineage: Bacteria
Description: partial 16S ribosomal RNA
Rfam family: Bacterial small subunit ribosomal RNA
Source: RNAcentral
AACGUAGGACGCAAGCGGUAUCCGGAAUUACUGGGCGUAAAGCGCGUGUAGGCGGGUCUGUAAGUCUGUCGUGAAAGCUCCCGGCUAAACUGGGAGAGGUCGAUGGAAACUACAGGUCUGGAGUUUGGCAGAGGAAUGUGGAAUUCCGCGUGUAGUGGUGAAAUGCGUAGAGAUGCGGAGGAACACCAGUGGCGAAGGCGGCAUUCUGGGCCACAACUGACGCUGAGAUGCGAAAGCAUGUGUAGCGAACGGG